CAGUGAGAAGCAAAUUUGCACAUAAUGACAGAUCGCAGGCAUCUAGCCCCAAAUGGAGUGUCUGGUUGUGAUCCAUCAUCAUGACAUUUCAGCUUUAGCAAACAUGGCUGCUCGCAGGGGGACACAAUCCAUCACUUUUCUCUAUUUCCCAGUCCAAAUGGCAGUUUCAAGGAUAUUAAUGAAGACCCAAGAGUGAAAUACAAGGACCACGUUAAAGAUAUUCAUAAAAAAAUCCAGGAAGGGGUCUGUCUACUUUCACUGGAGGACUUUAAGAGGGACACUGUGUCCCCAGGGAGGAACUAGGCUUCAUCUGUGGUAAGGAAGCAGAAUGAUUGAUCUCUAGGUGUGAGAGAUGGAAGAAACACAGGCAAAAAUGUUAAGCAUGAACAAGGAGCCGUGGUGGUGGGUGUGCACGGUUAUGGGAGUGGAAGGAGGGACACGAUAGGAAGGCCUGCCCUAAGAGUAAAUAUCAUUCCAUCGCUAGAAUUUCUACUACCACAGGAGCAAAUGUCAACGCCUCAUUUGAGCGGAGCAGCUUUGGAGUACACUAAUGUGCAAAAUCGUAGAGGAGAGAAAAGGUAACUGCAGGGAAAUGGCUGUAAACAAAAUGAUCAUCAUAAGUGAAUCUGGCACUUUUGUUUUUGUUGUCCAUAUAAAUAAUGCUAGAAAUACCUCUAACAUCAGGAGCUCAGUCGGUUAAGUGCCCGGCUCUUGAUUUCAGCUGAGGUCAUGAUCUCAGGGUUGUGGGAUAGAGCAUCAGGCUCUCUCUGGGUAUGGUGUGAAGCCUACUCGAGAUUCUUUCCCUCUCCCUCUGUGCCCCUCCUCUACCUCCCACCCGUGUGCACUCUCUGUCUCUCAAAAAAUAAAUAAAAUAAAAUAAAAAGAAAUAACUCUGUAACUUUAGACAGUUAUAUUUCAGUCUGUUCUCCAUACUUACGAACCGAGAUUAUAUCUUGAGAUAUUAUUUGUUGAGCUUUUCUUUUCCCCAACUUAUAUUUCCCCCUAGUUAA
Canis lupus familiaris (dog) is the source of this 1010-nucleotide long non-coding RNA. RefSeq lists it as uncharacterized. The transcript has 4 exons. Lineage: Eukaryota; Metazoa; Chordata; Mammalia; Carnivora; Canidae. The record is from RefSeq and is a predicted model, not a curated record.